UCCUCAGCAGGAAGUUAGGCUACAGCCCCCGACUAAAAACAAAAAGCUGCCGACGAGUAUCACAGAAACGCAGAGAUGUCUGAAGUGCCUAGAAAGCAAUCUUUAUCUCCAUCCCGAAAAACCGCUCCGACAAAAAACCACGUUCAACGGACCAGAAUUUCUGUCCAAUCAUCCCCAGUGAUGGGCCAGCACCCUGCCUUUUCUUCUGCAUCUGGCCUCAUCAACCAUCAACAACCACAUUACAGUAACACGUUGGCGUAUUAUCCCUGCACAGAACAGAUAUUGUCUAUACUGUGAUCUUUUAUACAUCCUGCUCAGAAGGAGUUUCGUCAACACUUUUGUGCAUAGUUUUUUUUCAUUGAUUUAUUUUUUGAAUAUGUGUAUCUAUGUAUAUUUAUCUUUUUGGCUGUUGCAGUAUUUUACCUUUUUAUUGUUAUUUCCUGUUAAUAUGUUUAUUGGAUACUGCACCAAACACCAAGCCAAAUAUUUUGUAAGUAAAAACCUACCUGGCAAUUAACUUUAUUUACGUGUUUCUGCUUUUGUGAUGAUGUCAUCAUCCCUUCCUCAUGCUGCUAUAUCCUGACACCCUUGUGUCAUGCAGUAUUCCCUUGCCUUCAUAUUUUUAUAGGUAAAUAAAAACACACUGUUUGUA
This is a long non-coding RNA of Seriola aureovittata, 652 nucleotides long. RefSeq lists it as uncharacterized. NCBI's taxonomy places the organism in Eukaryota, Metazoa, Chordata, Actinopteri, Carangiformes, Carangidae. The record is from RefSeq and is a predicted model, not a curated record. The transcript is spliced from 2 exons.